Molecule: RNA transcript, 5415 nt
Organism: Cryptotermes secundus
Lineage: Eukaryota; Metazoa; Arthropoda; Insecta; Blattodea; Kalotermitidae
Gene name: band 4.1-like protein 5
Exons: 18
Source: RefSeq, a predicted model, not a curated record
UGUCUUCCGUGUUACGGUGUGAUGUUUGGUGUGAUGGUUUGCAGAGUAGGGUCUGUUUCAUAGGGAUGAAUUUUUAUAGCUUUGAAUAUUACGAUAUGUAGUUAGUAAAUAAAACGUUGUGCCCUAUAUUAAUGUGCUAAUAUUAGUUACGUCAGUGUGCACCUACGAAGCCUCGGACACAUUCAAAAUGUUGAGAUUUUUGAGUCGGAGAAGAGGACGUAAUGCACAAAAAACUUCAACACAAGUCAAAUCUGGAUCACAACGGAUCAUCCCUAAUAAACAUGUCGUUCAGUGUAAGGUUAUACUUCUAGAUGGCACCGAUCUGUCCAUAGAUUUAUCUAAAAAAGCUGUUGGUGUUGACCUGUAUGAGCAAGUAUUCUACUCUCUGGAUCUGAUCGAGAAGGAUUACUUUGGGCUGCAGUAUACAGACGCAAAUAAUGUACAGCAUUGGCUGGACCCAACAAAGGCCAUCAAGAAGCAGGUGAAAAUUGGUCCACCUUAUACACUUCGCCUCAAAGUUAAGUUCUACUCUUCAGAACCAAACAGCCUGCGUGAGGAACUGACACGGUACCAGUUCUUUCUGCAGCUGAAAGAGGAUAUUGUGCAGGGUCGACUUGAGUGUGCAUACCAGACGGCUGUCGAGUUGUCAGCACUGGCUCUCCAGUCUGAACUAGGGGACUAUGAAGAGGGUUACCACACGCCAGCAGUAGUGUCAGAGUUCCACUUCAUACCCAACCAGACUGAGGAGAUGGAGAUUGCUGUGUUGGAGGAGUACAAGAAAUGCAGGGGCCUGACACCUGCGCAGGCUGAGAUGAACUAUCUGAACAAGGUGAAGUGGUUGGAGAUGUAUGGCGUGGACAACCACACAGUGCUGGGUAAGGAUGGAUGUGAGUAUUCGCUCGGCCUGACUCCAACAGGGAUCUUGGUGUUUGAAGGGAUUCAGAAGAUCGGCCUUUUUUUCUGGCCAAAGAUUGGAAAAUUGGACUUCAAGAAGAAGAAACUGACAUUGGUCGUAGUGGAGGAUGAUGAUCAAGGGCGUGAACAGGAACACACGUUUGUCUUCAGAUUGCACAAUGAGAAGGCGUGCAAACAUCUGUGGAAAUGCGCAGUUGAGCACCAUGCCUUUUUCCGUCUCCGGGCGCCUGUGAAGGGGCCAUCAGCAAGACAGAACUUCUUCCGUAUGGGCUCCAGGUUCCGAUACAGUGGCAAAACUGAAUUCCAGACAACACAACAAAACAGAGCACGCCGUACAGUCCAGUUUGAGCGUCGUCCAAGUCAACGUUACGCCCGUCGCCAGUCCCACGUCCUGCGAGAAAGACAGAAGAGCAGUGCUGUGGUUGCAGCUUCCUCACAGACCAACACGGACACAGGCAUUGGUUCCAGCGACACGCCCCCUCUCAUGCAGUCAUCACCUACUGUGACAUCUGAGCCCAGCGAGACAUCAAGUAGCUCCUCGAGACAGACCGUCCGUCCUGCAGAGGAUGGAGCAAGCAGUGGGUUGUUGAAACCCACUACACCCAGCCCUGCACCCAGUUGUGGCAACUCAACCUGCAGUCCCGCUGCCUCAACUGUCAGCAGUGGCACAGGAACCCUGAAGAAGAACAAGUCCGCCACACCAGUGGCCACAGCUGCCGAGGAACACCUUGACUCGCUGCUCAAGAGUCUGGUGAAAGAGCCUUUGGGCAAUCCCAACACUGAUGAUUCACUGAAUGACGCAUCUUCGACAUGCGGAGCAUCCACUAAGACUGACGACUUGGAGGCUGCAGUGGGCCCCACUGCUCUGCUGGUGACAGUGGUUCCCAACAACCAGAAUGCCAAGUACUCUGGAGGUUCGGCUGGUGCCAGGCCACUUCCCCCUGACCAGCUUAAGUGCAAUAUUCUGAAAGCCAGAGUUGAGGAGGAGCUGAAGAAGACCCCACUUUCUGAUGACAUGAACAACCGGGACGAGCGUGGAACUGAGAAGAAUCUGCUCAACGGGAAGAAGCAGCAGCAGCUGUCUCUACCUCUGGACACACUCAGCGCUACGUUCGUGUCUGUGGGUGGUGAUAAGCUCACAUUAUCCCUGGGUGGUGCUAACUCCAUGGCUGUUGGCCCCAGCACAACACUGGACAGUGCUCACAGUGAGGAUGCCUCACAGGGCGAGACCGAUGAUAGCAGGCUGUCACAGAAGCGCUGCACCACCCCAGUGACUGUGACGCACUUCUCAUGGUCUGAUCAUGGCAAACUGGAGCGUGUGAUACUCCCGUCACCAUCACUUGAUAGCAAGAACGCUCUGAACCACUCCAGCAGUGAAGAUGCAACAACCAAGAAGCCUGUGGUGCCCCCACCUGUUAGCCUGAUCAUGACUUCUGGCAGUCACACAACUCCAUGCCUGUCUCCAAAGGUCAUCAGGCCAAUGGCUCAGUCCCCCAAAUCUCCACAUCUUUCCCCCCCACCUGUCCUGCACCCAAACAAUCCUUUCAUAAAUCCAUUUACAGCCUCAAAAUUGUCCCCUACCGAAUCGAGGUCUCUGCCACCGACAAAUCCCUUCCAUGGGGUGUCAGCAGAUAAGCCGAACCCUUUCUUGUCUCUCUCUGCCAUAUCAAACCCUUUCAGGGAGUUGGUGGGUAGCAAGCCCCAUAUCUCACAUGAUAAUCCUGAGAGUGGAUCUGAUAAGACAUCUUCUGCCCCUUCAAAAUCACCCACUGUUCCUUUGUCCCCUGUAGUGCAGAGCUCUCCAGUGGCUGAUAAGCAACCAUCUGUGACCACUGGCGACAUUCGCCAGCGCAAAGUUUCGAAGGAGUCGCCCCACGCUCCUGCUCCCGCUGCAGCGAACACACAGCCCACCAAAUUGAAUUCUAGUGGCUCCGUGCCAAGCCUAAACCAGCUUUCUCCAUGGCUUGUAGCCUCUGACACUUCAGCUACCACUGACACAGCCACGAAGCCAGUCAAACAUGAACAGCCAGUGAUACAUCGGAAGACCGUCAUCACAACUGAACUGUGACUAUGUGCACGUCAUUUCGAAGAAGAAAAAUCUGUUAAAUAAUGAAGUGAACUAUAUAGGCCUUAACCCUCCUUUUGCUGCAGGGUGUUCCUUCAAAAAAUGGCAUUCAUAUCAGCAUGAAUUAUACAGGUUAGAAAAUUGUCUUCUGAUCACUGGCCAUGCCAGAGAGUGCAAUGCCAGCAGAACUUGCAUCAUCAGUAAGGAAAGAUUCUGGCCCAUGGUUGGCAGCUGCUACAACAGGUCAAGUAAUGCUGACUACACUGACUGAGGUUUUUGUAGUUUUCCUCAGUCCAUUCAGGGUAGAAGAGGGUACCUCGGCAUGGAAGCUGCAGUUUCUGUGAAUGAGGCUAAGUAGCAUCCAAUCACACAUGACAGUAAUCUUCAUACUCGCUGCUGUGAGAACCUCAGGUCUCAAAGACAACUUGAAGUUUGACGCAGUGCUGACAGGAGGGUUGUAGUAACAUUGAAACAUACAUCAACACAAACAGUUAAUCGUGUUGGUUUACUAUAGCUAUAUGUGCCAUGUGGGACCAGAUAUAUACCUGUAUUAGUGAUGUUCCUUCAGUGCCUUGCAAAACUGAAGUGUUGGUAUAACUGGUCAGCUCUGUAUUAGCCUUUGUAAUGCCUAGAUUGAUCAUCUGAAUGGUAAAAGCAAUGUGCAGAUAGUCUACUGAUUCCUGAAGGUGGAUGGUAGGUAAGUAGCAGACUUUGUUGUUGCACAUACUGCUGUUUGCCUUCAGUACCCAGUGAGACACUACUGACCAAAUAUGAUCUGAGUUAGCAUUGCCUAGCCACUCGCCACACAGCUGCCUUACCUCACAGAGCUGGAGAUGCAGUAACUGAACUGUGCUACGCCCAACUUUGUGACUGUAAUUAUGGAAAAUAUUGCAGCCUUAGAAUGUAAAUUGUGAAAUCUCAUAAAAUAUUACCAGUAUGUAAACAGGUUGCUGCCCAUUGCUGAAGAAUAAUUAAUUUUGUAAGAAGAAGAAGAGCAUGGAGUUAGUCUUGCACCAAGAGAUGGAAGCAUAAGACAUGAAACUGUCAUUCUGACAUGGGAAUGUGCAAGUAAUCUUGCCAGUACAUAUUUCUGAUCAUUCUGAGGCCAAGGUCACCAUCUCUGAUCUCACUGUUCAUCUUUAUGAAUUUGGCCCUUGUAAUGUGAAUUUUAAUUUUGACUGCCAGAAUAAGAAAUGUUUUGGAGCCUGACAGCCGCAAAACCAAAGGCUUUUGAGGUCCAUGCAUUUAUAUAAUUGUGUUUAGUUUUAGAUUUAAAAUUCUCAGACUAUGCAACAUUGGACCUGAUUUUCACAGAGGAUAUCAUUUGAGGUCUAUUUGAGCAUGUGACACAGUACAAAUAAAACGUAUUUUCUUUUCAGUUGAAUCAAUCUGUUAUUGGAUUGCAAAGUGAUUUUCUCAGUGUCAGACUUGUUAUUUAACAUGUAACUGAAUACCACCACUUUGAAAAAUGUAGUUCAUGUAAGUGAUAUUUAAAAAUUGAGUUCCUAUGUCACAGGAAAGACACUACAUUCACAUUACAAAGACCAACCAGUUAAUGCUUUUGAGGGAAGUAGUCCCUACUUAUUGUGAGAAUCAUGUAAAUCACAUAAAUGCACUGUGUGUGAAAAAACAAUUUUUUUAAUACUGUUCAAGCAGGUAUUAAGCAUGCCAUGUGCUUCAGAAGGUUAAUCAAAAUGUUUCUGAAGAUUAGUUUGUGGCUCCUGAUGUUUCUGGCAGGUUGAGCAUUCCUUGUGGAUCAAAAUUUGUAUUAUGGAGAUGUAAGGAGAGAUGAGGUGUUGGCUCUUCUGAUUAAUCAGGUGCUUGUUGAUAGUUACAGAUUUUUAUGUAAAGUUUUUAUGUUUUACUUUGUAAGGCUGGGAACACUGCUUGGUAGUAAUUUUCUUCUGGAGGUAAGUUAGUUUGUCAAACAUGGAUUUUGUUGCAGGUAAGUGUAUUUGUUAUAGAGUAUUAAAGUAACAUUAUUGUUGGAUUUGAGGUUCUCACAGAUGUGACAGCAUGUAGUUUGGUACAAGUUCACCAUCCUUCAUCCAGCAAGAUAUGGCAAGAAGCAGAGGGAAACACUGAAAUGUGGGCACACAUUUACUGAAAAUUAUGACGUCACACCCAGAAUAUAGUACUGUCAGUGACAAGCCCUUUCCUGGUCCAUGCAGCAUCAGACCAGAAUACUUGUUUUAAGGCUGGAUGAUAAGGAAAGAGGGCCAUCAAGGUGUGCUGUGUGUUCAAGCUGCACUGCCUUAGCUCAUGUCGGUGCUUGGACAUCGCGUUUCAUCUUCCCUCCUUAAGGACUGAUGUUGAUAUUAACAUGAACAUUUCUGUCUGCAUGAAGAAACACACUCAGGAUUCGUCCAGGUUUACUUCAAGUCUUAUGCGCUCAGUAUUAGAUGGACUCUGACUGACUUUCCCUCAGCACCGAU